CAAUAGCGUAUAUUAAAGUUGUUGCGGUUAAAAAGCUCGUAGUUGGAUUUCUGCUGAGAACGACCGGUCCGCCCUUUGGGUGUGUAUCUGGCUCUUUCUUGGCAUCUUCUUGGUGAACGUUGCUGCACUUGACUGUGUGGAGCGCUACCCAGGACUUUUACUUUGAGGAAAUUCGAGUGUUUCAAGCAGGCAUACGCCUUGAAUACAUUAGCAUGGAAUAAUAAGAUAGGACCUCGGUUCUAUUUUGUUGGCUUCUAGAGCUGAGGUAAUGAUUAAUAGGGAUAGUUGGGGGCAUUCGUAUUUAACUGUCAGAGGCGAAAUUCUUGGAUUUGUUAAAGACGGACUACUGCGAAAGCAUUUGCCAAGGAUGUUUUCAUUGA
RNAcentral lists this ribosomal RNA (380 nucleotides) under uncultured eukaryote. RNAcentral describes it as "partial 18S ribosomal RNA". It matches the Rfam family "Eukaryotic small subunit ribosomal RNA", at positions 592 to 976 of the family's 1831-position model. The record is from RNAcentral.